Molecule: ribosomal RNA, 460 nt
Filed under: uncultured bacterium
Lineage: Bacteria
Description: SSU rRNA
Rfam family: Bacterial small subunit ribosomal RNA
Source: RNAcentral
AGAAUCAACGCUGGCGGCGUGCCUAACACAUGCAAGUCGAACGAGAAAGUGGAGCAAUCCAUGAAUAAAGUGGCGACCGGGUGAGUAACACGUGACUAACCUACCUUCGAGUGGGGGAUAACCUCGGGAAACCGAGGCUAAUACCGCAUAACAUCGCAAGAUCAAAGCAGCAAUGCGCUGGAAGAGGGGGUCGCGGCUGAUUAGCUAGUUGGCGGGGUAAUGGCCCACCAAGGCGAAGAUCGGUAGCCGGCCUGAGAGGGCGCACGGCCACACUGGAACUGAAACACGGUCCAGACUCCUACGGGAGGCAGCAGUGGGGAAUUUUGCGCAAUGGGGGAAACCCUGACGCAGCAACGCCGCGUGGAGGAUGAAGCCCCUUGGGGUGUAAACUCCUUUCGACCAAGACGAUAAUGACGGUACUGGUGGAAGAAGCACCGGCUAACUCUGCGCCAGCAGCCGC